CGGGGUGUGGCGCAGUUGGCUAGCGCGUUCGCAUGGGGUGCGAAAGGCCGCAGGUUCGAGUCCUGUCACCCCGACCA
Molecule: transfer RNA, 77 nt
Filed under: candidate division WWE3 bacterium RAAC2_WWE3_1
Lineage: Bacteria; candidate division WWE3
Also listed under: 14 other names
Description: tRNA-Pro (GGG) (tRNA-Pro-GGG-1-1)
Rfam family: tRNA
About the family: Transfer RNA (tRNA) molecules are approximately 80 nucleotides in length. Their secondary structure includes four short double-helical elements and three loops (D, anti-codon, and T loops). Further hydrogen bonds mediate the characteristic L-shaped molecular structure. tRNAs have two regions of fundamental functional importance: the anti-codon, which is responsible for specific mRNA codon recognition, and the 3' end, to which the tRNAs corresponding amino acid is attached (by aminoacyl-tRNA synthetases). tRNAs cope with the degeneracy of the genetic code in two manners: having more than one tRNA (with a specific anti-codon) for a particular amino acid; and 'wobble' base-pairing, i.e. permitting non-standard base-pairing at the 3rd anti-codon position.
Source: RNAcentral